AUUGAACGCUGGCGGCAGGCUUAACACAUGUAAGUCGAGCGGGGUGAUGGUGCUCGCACUAUCACUUAGCGGCGGACGGGUGAGUAAUGCUUAGGAAUCUGCCUAUUAGUGGGGGACAACAUCUCGAAAGGGAUGCUAAUACCGCAUACGUCCUACGGGAGAAAGCAGGGGAUCACUUGUGACCUUGCGCUAAUAGAUGAGCCUAAGUCGGAUUAGCUAGUUGGUGGGGUAAAGGCCUACCAAGGCGACGAUCUGUAGUGGGUCGGAGAGGAUGAUCCGCCACACUGGGACUGAGACAAGGCCCAGACUCCUACGGGAGGCAGCAGUGGGGAAUAUUGGACAAUGGGGGGAACCCUGAUCCAGCCAUGCCGCGUGUGUGAAGAAGGCCUUAUGGUUGUAAAGCACUUUAAGCGAGGAGGAGGCUCUUUUGGUUAAUACCCAAGAUGAGUGGACGUUACUCGCAGAAUAAGCACCGGCUAACUCUGUGCCAGCCGCCGCCGUAA
Molecule: ribosomal RNA, 503 nt
Filed under: uncultured bacterium
Lineage: Bacteria
Description: partial 16S ribosomal RNA
Rfam family: Bacterial small subunit ribosomal RNA
Source: RNAcentral